UACGGAGGGUGCAAGCGUUAUCCGGAUUCACUGGGUUUAAAGGGUGCGUAGGUGGGUUGGUAAGUCAGUGGUGAAAUCUCCGAGCUUAACUCGGAAACUGCCAUUGAUACUAUCAAUCUUGAAUUUUCUGGAGGUGAGCGGAAUAUGUCAUGUAGCGGUGAAAUGCUUAGAUAUGACAUAGAACACCCAUUGCGAAGGCAGCUCACUACGGGAUAAUUGACACUGGGGGCACGAAAGCGUGGGGAUCAAACAGG
This 254-nucleotide ribosomal RNA is filed under the name uncultured bacterium. Its description in RNAcentral is "partial 16S ribosomal RNA". It matches the Rfam family "Bacterial small subunit ribosomal RNA", at positions 524 to 776 of the family's 1533-position model. The record is from RNAcentral.